Long non-coding RNA from Tyto alba (common barn owl), 1758 nucleotides. RefSeq lists it as uncharacterized. The record is from RefSeq and is a predicted model, not a curated record. NCBI's taxonomy places the organism in Eukaryota, Metazoa, Chordata, Aves, Strigiformes, Tytonidae. The transcript is spliced from 4 exons.
UUUACCUUUUUUCAAGUACGAGUGACAGACUUUUCCAUAUGACGGCAGGCAUGGUUGGACUAAUGCUUUCUGUCACAUUCAUGCCUCCGUGUCUCUGUUGGGGACACUUCUGACAUAUGCCAAGAUCACAACACAUUGUUCACAGACACAUUAUGCUGGCAAUUCAUAAUCAUCCCAGGAUGGUCUGCCUCACCCAAAGCCUUCUUCACCUUGUUUCCAAAUGAUGCGUUUCCAAUUUAUGAGGUGUCUACUCUCUCUUUCUGAAUAUUUUUCUCAGUUUUUGCAUUUCUACAGCACUAGCUGGCUGCUGCUGGUCAUCUCAGGAUACAAGCAAGUUUCUACAAAGUGAGCAAGUACAGGAACAUCCUUUGAAAGAAAACAAAAAUAAAACACUUCACUGAUCAGAAAAUUAUUUGAAAACACAUAUAACAUUUUAUCAAACUGCUUAGUUUGGGAAAACCCAGCAGCAAUUGUCAACACCACCAGGCUGCCUCUGCAUACUUCAGUCUCUGCCAGCCAGGAGUGCCAUGCAUUACAACUGAAAGAGGCUGCAAAUGAGGAUUUAUGUGACUAGAAACUGUACACAAGGUGAGGAAAUGUGCAUACACAAGCAAAAAGAAUGGUUGUGUGGAUUUGUUUCUGACUGUCAGUGCCUGUGUAACUAUAUAUGCAGAUUAGGUAUUGCCCUUGAAGACCUGGAGACCAGCCAGUGUGCCUCUUCCCUGGUAAACUUGAUGUAAACAGAGUUAUGCAUCAGUAGUGUUUGUUAUUACAGCAUCUGAGCUACUCCAGCUUCCAAGUCAUUCAGACCAAGGUGUUUUUCUAUAGUUUCUCAUCUGUGCUUCUGGAAGAGUGGCAGUUUCUCAAGUACCCUUUAAACAGCACUUAACCUUUGCAGCUCCAAAGUGAUCUUGCCUCUAAGAUCUUAGAGGGAUUUCACACCCUGCCACGUCCCCCCCCAUCGAUGACCAUGACAGUAACAGAUGUUGGCAUCUCUGUGUUCCCAAGGUGACACUGAAGCCCUCACCAUUUUGUCACUCUCUAAACCGUGUUUGAUCAAAGCUGCAAGAUUUCCUCCUGCCAUGGUGGGGGUGGAUGUGUGUGUGCAUGUUCAUGCACUUGUGUAAAAUGUCUUCUGUCAUCUGUACAUACAGGUGUCUCUAAAGCCAGUCACCUGAGCCACCAAGAUUGGGCCCAAAGUGGUCCAUGCAGAAGUCUUCAUUUUAAUCAAGCUUUAAGAAAACAAGGAAAACAAAUCUGUGGCGUUUUGUAUUAGAUACAUGCGUAGAGAAAAACAAAAGCCCCUCUUCUCUUCAUAGUUGAAUACUUAAAACAGUCAUGGAAAUAUUUGCACAUGUGUAAGGAGUGCUUAUUUUGUGGAUGUCAGUAGAUGUGAAAAUAUUUGGUGCAAUUCUGCAAAGAGUAAUUUGGAAAACUUUUUGUGUGGUAUGAUCCUCUGUAUUUAUUAAAGGAAUGGUAUUCUUUACAAAUUAUAAAUGCACCGUAACUGAUUACUAGCCAUGGACUUGUUGCAGACAAUGAAGCGUGCUGAAAGAAGAAAGAGGUUAAAAGAAACAUAUGUAUGUUUUCUGCAUCUCAGCCAGUAUUGCUUCUGUUAAGUACUAGACUUUGUAAAGGGUCAAACUGGACAGUGUGGAUCUUAAAUUCCUGUAACGCAUCUCACAGGUCUUUUGCUAGUGCUUAUUCAAUUAAAGAAUGAGUCUAUUCUAAAAUUAACUGUGGCCCCAGAGUUUAGCU